This 433-nucleotide unclassified non-coding RNA is filed under the name soil metagenome. RNAcentral's name for it is "partial contains 5.8S ribosomal RNA, internal transcribed spacer 2, and large subunit ribosomal RNA". The stretch from base 1 to 120 matches the Rfam family "5.8S ribosomal RNA", at positions 35 to 154 of the family's 154-position model. The record is from RNAcentral.
GAUGAAGAACGCAGCGAAAUGCGAUAAGUAAUGCGAAUUGCAGAAUUCAGUGAGUCAUCGAAUCUUUGAACGCACAUUGCGCCCGCCGGCAUUCCGGCGGGCACGCCUGUCCGAGCGUCAUAGCACCAACUCGAGCCCCACGGCUCGGCCCUUGGGCAGCCGGUCCGCGCCAGCGGACCCGCCCGAAACGCGCGACCCGAGCUGGCAGCAGCGGGAUGUCCCCUGGAGACCCUCGCGAGAGGGUCCCGGCCCCCCCCCGGCGAAGCGGAGCGUCGUAGACGACCGCCCGCGGCAGCUGGGGGGGCGCGGUGGGGAGGACCCCGCCCGGGAAGGCCGAGGGGGCCGCGCCGAGCGGCCCCCGCACAUCACCGACGUAGGACCUCGGAUCAGGCGGGGGUACCCGCUGAACUUAAGCAUAUCAAUAAGCGGAGGA